RNAcentral lists this ribosomal RNA (203 nucleotides) under Alexandrium tamarense. RNAcentral describes it as "partial Bacterial large subunit ribosomal RNA". It matches the Rfam family "Bacterial large subunit ribosomal RNA", at positions 860 to 1062 of the family's 2925-position model. Lineage: Eukaryota; Dinophyceae; Gonyaulacales; Pyrocystaceae. The record is from RNAcentral.
CGAAAUCUAUUUAGGUAGAGCGUCAUGUAUUACUUCUGGGGGUAGAGCACUGUUAUGGCUAGGGGGUCAUGGCGACUUACCAAACCAUUGCAAACUCCGAAUACCGACGAGUACAGCUUGGGAGACAGUGCACCGGGUGCUAACGUCCGGACACGAGAGGGAAACAACCCAGACCGCCAGCUAAGGUCCCAAAUUAUAGCUAA